GACGAACGCUGGCGGCAUGCCUAAUACAUGCAAGUCGAACGCUUUUUCUUUCACCGGAGCUUGCUCCACCGAAAGAAAAAGAGUGGCGAACGGGUGAGUAACACGUGGGUAACCUGCCCAUCAGAAGGGGAUAACACUUGGAAACAGGUGCUAAUACCGUAUAACACUAUUUUCCGCAUGGAAGAAAGUUGAAAGGCGCUUUUGCGUCACUGAUGGAUGGACCCGCGGUGCAUUAGCUAGUUGGUGAGGUAACGGCUCACCAAGGCAACGAUGCAUAGCGGAACUGAGAGGGUGAUCGGCCACGCUGGGACUGAGACACGGCCCAGACUCCUACGGGAGGGAGCAGUAGGGAAUCUUCGGCAAUGGACGAAAGUCUGACCGAGCAACGCCGCGUGAGUGAAGAAGGUUUUCGGAUCGUAAAACUCUGUUGUUAGAGAAGAACAAGGGUGAGAGUAAAAUGUUCAUCCCUUGACGGUAUCUAACCAGAAAGCCACGGCUAACUACGUGCCAGCCGCCGCAGUAA
This 523-nucleotide ribosomal RNA is filed under the name uncultured bacterium. Its description in RNAcentral is "partial 16S ribosomal RNA". It matches the Rfam family "Bacterial small subunit ribosomal RNA", at positions 28 to 523 of the family's 1533-position model. The record is from RNAcentral.